Molecule: ribosomal RNA, 394 nt
Filed under: uncultured bacterium
Lineage: Bacteria
Description: partial 16S ribosomal RNA
Rfam family: Bacterial small subunit ribosomal RNA
Source: RNAcentral
AUACGUAGGGGACGAGCGUUGUCCGGAAUUACUGGGCGUAAAGGGCGCGCAGGCGGAUAUUUAAGUCAGCUGUAAAAGGCAUGAGCUCAACUCAUGUAUGCGGUUGAAACUGGGUAUCUAGAGUGCUGGAGAGGUAGGCGGGAUUCCCGGUGUAGCGGGUGAAUGCGUAGAUAUCGGGAAGAACACCAGUGGCGAAGGCGGCUUACUGGCCAGCAACUGACGCUGAGGCGCGAAAGCCAGGGGAGCGAACGGGAUUAGAUACCCCGGUAGUCCUGGCCGUAAACGAUGAAUGCUAGGUGUGGGUGUCGAGAGGCAUCCGUGCCGGAGUUAACGCGAUAAGCAUUCCGCCUGGGGAGUACGAUCGCAAGAUUGAAACUCAAAUGAAUUGGCGGGG